GUGUUGGUGGUUCAGUUGUAGAAUUCUCGCUUGCCAUGUGGGAGGCCCAGGUUUGGUUCCUAGCCAAUGCA
RNAcentral lists this transfer RNA (71 nucleotides) under Xenopus laevis (African clawed frog). It matches the Rfam family "tRNA". From Rfam's summary of the family: Transfer RNA (tRNA) molecules are approximately 80 nucleotides in length. The record is from Rfam by way of RNAcentral. Lineage: Eukaryota; Metazoa; Chordata; Amphibia; Anura; Pipidae.